This 775-nucleotide ribosomal RNA is filed under the name uncultured bacterium. RNAcentral's name for it is "bacterial SSU rRNA". It matches the Rfam family "Bacterial small subunit ribosomal RNA", at positions 8 to 798 of the family's 1533-position model. The record is from RNAcentral.
AGAGUUUGAUCAUGGCUCAGGACGAACGCUGGCGGCGUGCUUAACACAUGCAAGUCGAACGGAAAGGCCCCUUCGGGGGUACUCGAGUGGCGAACGGGUGAGUAACACGUGGGUGAUCUGCCCUGCACUUUGGGAUAAGCCUGGGAAACUGGGUCUAAUACCGAAUAGGACCGCAUGCUUCAUGGUGUGUGGUGGAAAGCUUUUGCGGUGUGGGAUGGGCCCGCGGCCUAUCAGCUUGUUGGUGGGGUAAUGGCCUACCAAGGCGACGACGGGUAGCCGGCCUGAGAGGGUGUCCGGCCACACUGGGACUGAGAUACGGCCCAGACUCCUACGGGAGGCAGCAGUGGGGAAUAUUGCACAAUGGGCGCAAGCCUGAUGCAGCGACGCCGCGUGGGGGAUGACGGCCUUCGGGUUGUAAACCUCUUUCAGUACAGACGAAGCGCGAGUGACGGUAUGUGCAGAAGAAGGACCGGCCAACUACGUGCCAGCAGCCGCGGUAAUACGUAGGGUCCGAGCGUUGUCCGGAAUUACUGGGCGUAAAGAGCUCGUAGGUGGUUUGUCGCGUUGUUCGUGAAAACUCACAGCUUAACUGUGGGCGUGCGGGCGAUACGGGCAUACUGGAGUACUGCAGGGGAGACUGGAAUUCCUGGUGUAGCGGUGGAAUGCGCAGAUAUCAGGAGGAACACCGGUGGCGAAGGCGGGUCUCUGGGCAGUAACUGACGCUGAGGAGCGAAAGCGUGGGUAGCGAACAGGAUUAGAUACCCUGGUAGUCCAA